Long non-coding RNA from Homo sapiens (human), 1188 nucleotides. Ensembl annotates it as cancer susceptibility 15. Its record names the gene CASC15. Lineage: Eukaryota; Metazoa; Chordata; Mammalia; Primates; Hominidae. The record is from Ensembl.
GGAUGCAAUGGAGAACAUUUACAGAGGACUGUGGGUAAAGCAAAGUCUUCAAGGGAAGAUAACAAAGGAUGAAACAAUGGUGUUGUGUGACUUCCUAGUGUGAAUCAUGGCAAUACAGUGAAAGACAGUGAUUUACUGCUUUUGAGGGCGUGCAUGUAUAUGAUUAACGGAUGGAAGUGCAGGACUCCAAGAUUUACUUCCUUCCCUUUCCAGCAGAAUUACCUGAGACGAGUAAAAUCUACUGGUGGAGUCACUCCAUUAUUCUUAUCUGUGGAGAUCUAGAUCUUGAUUUGAAAGUUUCUGAGAAAAUCUUCAGCUCAGACUUGAGGGUCAACUUUACCAGCUGAAGGAUCUGCAUUUACUGCUCAACCACAUCUAAUUUGAUGUCCUCUGCAGAUUUAAAAUGUGUGCCUUCUUUUCCGUCACCAAGUCAUCCCUGGGUUACUACUGAACAUCCUUCUCAAUUCCCCCCGACCCAUGGAUGGCUGUUCUCCAUUGUCUGUUUCACCAGAUGUCCUCAAAACAAACAGACAGAAGAAGGAAGUGGCUAAUGGAGCUGUGGAGUCCAAGUGUGACUGCCAAGAGGAAUCCAGCAAAGCCAAAAAGCCCAAGCAUGUAGCCCUGCCCGAAGCACGCCACACGCAUGGAAAACCCAGAGGAAAUGAGUGAGGAUCAAUGGGAAGAAGAGAGCCAGCCAGGAAGUUGAAGAUUUGUCCAGGAGCAGAUAGCUGAAGAGAGAGAGAGAGAAGAGAGAACGGCUUACAGCUCAGGUCCUCUCUCCAUGCUUAGGAACCACUACAAAUGCUACUGCCUUGAGUCUCAUUUUGUUUCCCUCUGGAAACCACAUGUGUACCUUGUUUGCAACAGUAUGGAGCCAGAGGCAGUAUGUCACAUUAACCUUCAUUAACUGCCCAAGAAAUGAGUUCUGGAGACCAGAAGGCCAAAAUCAAAAGUAUGGGCAGGCUUGAUUUCUUUAGAAGACUCCAGCGGAGAACUGUGUCUCCUUGCUUCUGAUUCUACAUCUCCAUCCAUGGGCCACUGUUUCAGCAACCUCAGCCAGUGCAACACAACCUCAGCCAAGAAGAGUAUGCAGAGAAAGGAGUCCCCUACCUGCCACAAAACUGUUGUCUGAAAACUGUCUCAUAUUGUCUCAAGUUGUCAUUCAUUGUGAAUUAGACCUGUUUAACA